RNAcentral lists this ribosomal RNA (292 nucleotides) under uncultured bacterium. RNAcentral describes it as "partial 16S ribosomal RNA". It matches the Rfam family "Bacterial small subunit ribosomal RNA", at positions 505 to 796 of the family's 1533-position model. The record is from RNAcentral.
GUGUCAGCCGCCGCGGUAAUACGUAGGGUGCGAGCGUUGUCCGGAUUUACUGGGUUUAAAGGGUGCGUAGGCGGGCUGUUAAGUCUGGGAUGAAAUUGGUGCGCUCAACGCAUCAGCUGUCCUGGAUACUGACGGUCUUGAGUUAGGAUGAGGUUGCUGGAAUGAGUGGUGUAGCGGUGAAAUGCGUAGAGAUCACUCAGAACACCGAUUGCGAAGGCAGGCGACUGGACCUAAACUGACGCUGAGGCACGAAAGCGUGGGGAUCAAACAGGAUUAGAUACCCUCGUAGUCC